CUGCCUAGUGCCUAAGUGGUCCAGAAGGCCUAGGGCCAAUCUGGGCGGCAGUCCCUGGGCGGCCGCCUAAGCAGUACGGAACCGCCUAGGCAGGC
RNAcentral lists this transfer RNA (95 nucleotides) under Amborella trichopoda. RNAcentral describes it as "tRNA AMTR_s00006t00277090". The record is from RNAcentral. Lineage: Eukaryota; Viridiplantae; Streptophyta; Magnoliopsida; Amborellales; Amborellaceae.